GUAGGGAAUAUUGGGCAAUGGAGGCAACUCUGACCCAGCCAUGCCGCGUGCAGGAUGACGGCCCUCUGGGUUGUAAACUGCUUUUAUACGGGAAGAAAAAAUACUACGUGUAGUAUACUGACGGUACCGUAAGAAUAAGGAUCGGCUAACUCCGUGCCAGCAGCCGCGGUAAUACGGAGGAUCCAAGCGUUGUCCGGAUUUAUUGGGUUUAAAGGGUGCGUAGGCGGAUCUUUAAGUCAGUGGUGAAAGCCUACAGCUUAACUGUAGAAUUGCCAUUGAAACUGAAGAUCUUGAAUGUGGUUAAAGUAGGCGGAAUGUAUCAUGUAGCGGUGAAAUGCUUAGAUAUGAUACAGAACACCGAUAGCGAAGGCAGCUUGCUGAACCAUUAUUGACGCUGAGGCACGAAAGCGUGGGGAGCGAACAGGAUUAGAUACCCGGGUAGUCC
Molecule: ribosomal RNA, 445 nt
Filed under: uncultured bacterium
Lineage: Bacteria
Description: partial 16S ribosomal RNA
Rfam family: Bacterial small subunit ribosomal RNA
Source: RNAcentral